AGAGAAGCGUGUGCCUUUUCUGCACACUUGUAUAGACGCGCACACACGAGAGUAGAGGCGCGUGUGCCUUU
This 71-nucleotide microRNA precursor is filed under the name Bos taurus (domestic cattle). Its description in RNAcentral is "mir-2450 microRNA precursor family". It matches the Rfam family "mir-2450 microRNA precursor family". RNAcentral also lists the same sequence under 1 other name. Lineage: Eukaryota; Metazoa; Chordata; Mammalia; Artiodactyla; Bovidae. The record is from Rfam by way of RNAcentral.